CGCCUGGGGAGUGCGCCGCAAGGUUAAAACUCAAAUGAAUUGACGGGGGCCCGCACAAGCGGUGGAGCAUGUGGUUUAAUUCGACGCAACGCGAAGAACCUUACCCGGCCUUGACAUCCAGAGAGCUUUCCAGAGAUGGAUUGGUGCCUUCGGGAACUCUGAGACAGGUGCUGCAUGGCCGUCGUCAGCUCGUGUCGUGAGAUGUUGGGUUAAGUCCCGUAACGAGCGCAACCCCUAUCCCUGGUUGCUAGCAGGUAAUGCUGAGAACUCCAGGGAGACUGCCGGUGACAAACCGGAGGAAGGUGGGGAUGACGUCAGGUCAUCAUGGCCCUUACGGCCAGGGCUACACACGUGCUACAAUGGCGCGUACAGAGGGCUGCCAACUCGCGAGAGUGAGCCAAUCCCUUAAAACGCGUCGUAGUCCGGAUCGGAGUCUGCAACUCGACUCCGUGAAGUCGGAAUCGCUAGUAAUCGCGAAUCAGAAUGUCGCGGUGAAUACGUUCCCGGGCCUUGUACACACCGCCCGUCACACCAUGGGAGUGGAUUGCACCAGAAGUAGUUAGUCUAACCUUCGGGAGGACGAUUACCACGGUGUGGUUCAUGACUGGGGUGAAGUCGUAACAAGGUAACCGUA
This 634-nucleotide ribosomal RNA is filed under the name uncultured Marinobacter sp. RNAcentral's name for it is "bacterial SSU rRNA". It matches the Rfam family "Bacterial small subunit ribosomal RNA", at positions 870 to 1504 of the family's 1533-position model. The record is from RNAcentral. Lineage: Bacteria; Pseudomonadati; Pseudomonadota; Gammaproteobacteria; Pseudomonadales; Marinobacteraceae.